AGGGCGUAUGGUGGAUGCCUAGGCUCUCAGAGGCGAAGAAGGACGUGAUAAGCUGCGAAAAGCUCCGUUUAGGUGCAAAUAACCUUUGAUGCGGAGAUUUCCGAAUGGGAUAACCCAAUAUGUUGAAGACAUAUUAUACCGUAAGGUAGGCAAACGCAGGGAACUGAAACAUCUAAGUACCUGCAGGAGAAGAAAACAAACGUGAUUCCCCCAGUAGCGGCGAGCGACCGGGGAAAAGCCCAAACCGUUAUUGUUUCGGCAUUAACGGGGUAGUAGGACUGCGACAUUGAUGAAAUAAAUGAAAUGGAACACCUUGGAAAAUGUGAUCACAGAGGGUGAUAAUCCCGUACAUGCAAGUUUAUGAAUCAUAGCAGUAUCCUGAGUAAGUCGGGACACGUGUAAUCCUGACCGAAUCCGCCGGGACCAUCCGGCAAGGCUAAAUACUCCUGAGAGACCGAUAGUGAACCAGUACCGUGAGGGAAAGGUGAAAAGCACUUCGAACAGAAGAGUGAAAUAGUUCCUGAACCCAUACGCCUACAAGCUGUCGGAGCCGCUUCGUGCGGUGACGGCGUGCCUUUUGCAUAAUGAGCCUACGAGUUACUCAUCACCAGCGAGGUUAAGUACUUCAGGUACGUAAGCCGAAGCGAAAGCGAGUCUGAAUAGGGCGUCAAGUUGGUGGUGGUAGACGCGAAACCUUAGUGAUCUACCCAUGGGCAGGGUGAAGGUUUGGUAACACAAACUGGAGGCCCGAACCGGUAAACGUUGAAAAGUUUUCGGAUGACCUGUGGGUAGGGGUGAAAGGCCAAUCAAACUGGGAAAUAGCUCGUACUCUCCGAAAUGCAUUUAGGUGCAGCCUCUGUUGUUUUGUUCUAGAGGUAGAGCUACUGAUUGGAUGCGAGGGCUUCACCGCCUAUCAAAUCCGGCCAAACUCCGAAUGCUAGAACAUGAAGACAGGGAGUGAGCCAGCGGGUGCUAAGGUCCGUUGACGAAAGAGGGAGAACUCAGACCAUCAGCUAAGGUCCCCAAUUGUAUGCUAAGUUGGAAUUAAAACGGGGUGGGACUGCUUAGACAGCUAGGAUGUUGGCUUGGAAGCAGCCAUUCAUUUAAAGAGUGCGUAACAGCUCACUAGUCGAGCGGUCCUGCAUGGAUAAUACGCGGGCAUAAGCAUAUAACCGAAGCUAUGGGAUUGUAGAUGAUACAAUCGGUAGGAGAGCAUUCCAUUCAGCAUAGAAGCAGUAUCGUGAGGUAUUGUGGAGCGGAUGGAAAAGCAAAUGUAGGCAUAAGUAACGAUAAUGCGGGUGAGAACCCCGCACGCCGAAAGAUCAAGGAUUCCCCGGCAAUGUCAAUCAUCCGGGGGUAAGUCGGAUCCUAAGGGUAAGCCGAGUGGCGAUCCCGAUGGCAAACAGGUUAAUAUUCCUGUACUGAUCAUAACUGCGAUGCAGCGACGCAGAGGUGACACUGCUGCGUACUGACGGAAUAGUACGUUGAAACCCGUAUUCUUUGAUACCGGUAGUGAAGCACGCCGGUAGAGAUGAAAGGUGAUAGUACCGCAAUGCUUCGGUUGCGCGGAUAAUGCAGGUAAGCUGACUGCCAAGAAAACCUGCUAAGCUUCAGGUAAUGAUCAUCCGUACUGUAAACGGACACACGUGAUCAGGUAGAAAAUACUAAGGCGCUCGAGAGAUUCAUGGUUAAGGAACUAGGCAAAAUGGUCCUGUAACUUCGGGAUAAAGGACGCUCUUGUGAAAGAGCCGCAGAUAAUAGGCCCAGGCGACUGUUUACCAAAAACACAUGGCUAUGCUAAUUCGCAAGAAGAUGUAUAUGGCCUGACACCUGCCCGGUGCCGGAAGGUUAAGAGGAGAGCUCAGAGGUAACUCGAAGGUUUGAAUUGAAGCCCCGGUAAACGGCGGCCGUAACUAUAACGGUCCUAAGGUAGCGAAAUUCCUUGUCGGGUAAGUUCCGACCUGCACGAAUGGUGUAACGAUCUGGGCACUGUCUCGACCAUGAGCUCGGUGAAAUUGUAGUUCCGGUGAAGAUGCCGGGUACCCGCGACGGGACGGAAAGACCCCGUGAACCUUUACUGCAGCUUCGCGUUGUUCCCGGGCACGGGACGUGUAGGAUAGGUCGGAGGCCAUGAAGCGGAUUCGCCAGGAUUCGUGGAGCCAUCGUUGAAAUACGACCCUUCUCUUGUCUGGGAUCUAACCCAUGGUAAUGGGGACACCGCGUGGUGGGUAGUUUGACUGGGGUGGUCGCCUCCAAAAGCGUAACGGAGGCUUCCAAAGGUACCCUCGGGUUGGUUGGUAAUCAACCUUAGAGUGCAAUGGCACAAGGGUGCUUGACCGGGAGACCAACGAGUCGAUCGGGUGCGAAAGCAGGGCAUAGUGAUCCGGUGAUCCCGCGUGGAAGGGUCAUCGCUCAAAGGAUAAAAGGUACUCCGGGGAUAACAGGCUGAUCGCCCCCAAGAGCUCAUAUCGACGGGGCGGUUUGGCACCUCGAUGUCGGCACGUCACAUCCUGGGGCUGGAGAAGGUCCCACGGGUUCGGCUGUUCG
RNAcentral lists this ribosomal RNA (2547 nucleotides) under human gut metagenome. Its description in RNAcentral is "bacterial LSU rRNA". It matches the Rfam family "Bacterial large subunit ribosomal RNA", at positions 14 to 2583 of the family's 2925-position model. The record is from RNAcentral.